RNAcentral lists this long non-coding RNA (209 nucleotides) under Ananas comosus (pineapple). RNAcentral describes it as "long non-coding RNA (ACOM_LNC044684)". The record is from RNAcentral. Lineage: Eukaryota; Viridiplantae; Streptophyta; Magnoliopsida; Poales; Bromeliaceae.
GGAUCUUGUAGAUUUUUUCGGCCUUUGGAUGAAGAUUUGUAGGAUUAGGAUAAUAGUAGUGUUGAGUGGGUGGUUGCUAGAAUAAUAUAAUUUAAGAGAUAGAAUUGAUGAAAAGAAUAGAUCUAACAGUGAAAAAUUUUCAAGCACCAAGUUCUUGGUGCUUUUAAGAGCACCAUAGCCGGACUCUCUCUCUCUCUCUACACACACAU